Molecule: ribosomal RNA, 250 nt
Filed under: uncultured bacterium
Lineage: Bacteria
Description: partial 16S ribosomal RNA
Rfam family: Bacterial small subunit ribosomal RNA
Source: RNAcentral
UACGUAGGGGCCAAGCGUUAUCCGGAUUUACUGGGCGUAAAGCGCAUGUAGGCGGUCUGCCAAGUCGGACGUUAAAGCUCCUGGCUUAACUGGGAGAGGUCGUUUGAAACUGGCAGACUAGAGGACGGUAGAGGAGAGCGGAAUUCCAGGUGUAGCGGUGAAAUGCGUAGAUAUCUGGAGGAACACCAGUGGCGAAAGCGGCUCUCUGGCCCGCUCCUGACGCUGAGAUGCGAAAGCCAGGGGAGAGAAC